RNAcentral lists this ribosomal RNA (407 nucleotides) under uncultured bacterium. RNAcentral describes it as "partial 16S ribosomal RNA". It matches the Rfam family "Bacterial small subunit ribosomal RNA", at positions 30 to 526 of the family's 1533-position model. The record is from RNAcentral.
AUUGAACGCUGGCGGCAGGCCUAACACAUGCACGUCGAGCGGAGCGGCGGAAGGGUGAGUAAUGCCUAGGAAUCUGCCAGGUAGUGGGGGAUAACGUCCGGAAACGGGCUAUAAUACAGAAUAAUAACAGAUGAGACUAGGUCGGAUUAGCUAGUUGGUGGGGUAAAGGCCUACCAAUGCGACGAUCCGUAACUGGUCUGCGAGGAUGAACAGUCACACGGGAACUGAGACACGGUCCAGACUCCUACGGGGGGCAGCAGUGGGGAAGAUUGGACAAUGGGCGAAAGCCUGAUCCAGCCAUGCCGCGUGUGUGAAGAAGGUCUUCGGAUUGUAAAGCACUUUAAGUUGGGAGGCGUUACCAACAGAAUAAGCACCGGCUAACUUCGUGCCAGCCGCCGCGGUAAUAC